RNAcentral lists this ribosomal RNA (254 nucleotides) under uncultured bacterium. RNAcentral's name for it is "partial 16S ribosomal RNA". It matches the Rfam family "Bacterial small subunit ribosomal RNA", at positions 524 to 776 of the family's 1533-position model. The record is from RNAcentral.
CACGUAGGGACCAAGCGUUGUCCGGAUUCAUUGGGCGUAAAGAGCUCGUAGGCGGUUCGAUAAGUCGGGUGUGAAACCUCCAGGCUCAACCUGGAGACGCCACCCGAUACUGUCGUGACUAGAGUCCAGUAGGGGAGCGUGGAAUUCCUGGUGUAGCGGUGAAAUGCGCAGAUAUCAGGAGGAACACCAGCGGCGAAGGCGGCGCUCUGGGCUGGAACUGACGCUGAGGAGCGAAAGCGUGGGGAGCAAACGGG